Molecule: ribosomal RNA, 460 nt
Filed under: uncultured bacterium
Lineage: Bacteria
Description: partial 16S ribosomal RNA
Rfam family: Bacterial small subunit ribosomal RNA
Source: RNAcentral
CCUACGGGAGGCAGCAGUGAGGAAUAUUGGUCAAUGGACGAGAGUCUGAACCAGCCAAGUAGCGUGAAGGAUGACUGCCCUAUGGGUUGUAAACUUCUUUUAUAAAGGAAUAAAAUGAGGCACGUGUGCCUUUUUGUAUGUACUUUAUGAAUAAGGAUCGGCUAACUCCGUGCCAGCAGCCGCGGUAAUACGGAGGAUCUGAGCGUUAUCCGGAUUUAUUGGGUUUAAAGGGAGCGUAGAUGGGUUGUUAAGUCAGUUGUGAAAGUUUGCGGCUCAACCGUAAAAUUGCAAUUGAUACUGGCAGUCUUGAGUACAGGUGAGGUAAGCGGAAUGCGUGGUGUAGCGGUGAAAUGCUUAGAUAUCACGAAGAACCCCGAUUGCGAAGGCAGCUUACUAAACUGUGACUGACAUUGAUGCUCGAAAGUGUGGGUAUCAAACAGGAUUAGAUACCCCAGUAGUC